Molecule: microRNA precursor, 207 nt
Filed under: Picea abies (Norway spruce)
Lineage: Eukaryota; Viridiplantae; Streptophyta; Pinopsida; Pinales; Pinaceae
Description: miR11498a stem-loop (pab-MIR11498a)
Source: miRBase by way of RNAcentral
AUGGGUAUCGUGUCAUAUUACAUCACGAAUACAACCGCGGGAAAUGGAGGAAUUUUUGCAACAAGACCUGAUCCGAAGUACUGGAUUGUUUUGUAAUAGGACAAGGACUACAACCCAUCGCCCCCAGUUGUCGCCAAAAUUCUUUGAGAAACACCAUUUUGUCUCACUACCUAAUUGUAUCUGUGAUGUAAUAUGACAUGAUCCCAU